RNAcentral lists this ribosomal RNA (253 nucleotides) under uncultured bacterium. Its description in RNAcentral is "partial 16S ribosomal RNA". It matches the Rfam family "Bacterial small subunit ribosomal RNA", at positions 524 to 776 of the family's 1533-position model. The record is from RNAcentral.
UACGGAGGGUGCAAGCAUUAAUCGGAUUCAUUGGGCGUAAAGGGCGCGUAGGCGGACUUGUAAGUUAGAUGUGAAAUACCGAAGCUCAACUUCGGUGCUGCAUUUAAAACUGCAAGACUUGAGGACUGACGGAGAAAAUGGAAUUCCACAUGUAGCGGUGAAAUGCGUAGAUAUGUGGAAGAACACCUGUGGCGAAAGCGGUUUUCUAGUUAGUACCUGACGCUGAGGCGCGAGAGCAAGGGGAGCAAACAGG